UACGUAGGGGGCAAGCGUUGUCCGGAAUCAUUGGGCGUAAAGAGCGUGUAGGCGGCCCGAUAAGUCCGCUGUGAAAGUCCAGGGCUCAACCCUGGGAUGCCGGUGGAUACUGUCGGGCUCGAGUCCGGAAGAGGCGGGUGGAAUUCCUGGUGUAGCGGUGAAAUGCGCAGAUAUCAGGAGGAACACCGGUGGCGAAGGCGGCGACCUGGUUCGAUACUGACACUGAGGUGCGAAAGCGUGGGGAGCAAACAGG
RNAcentral lists this ribosomal RNA (253 nucleotides) under uncultured bacterium. RNAcentral's name for it is "partial 16S ribosomal RNA". It matches the Rfam family "Bacterial small subunit ribosomal RNA", at positions 524 to 776 of the family's 1533-position model. The record is from RNAcentral.